AUGAAAAGCAACAGGGCCCCGGGCCCGGAUAAUAUUCCUGUUGAGUACCAGCAUUGCUGGGAUAUAGUGAAAGAGGAUAUUAUGAGAUCGUUUACUGCUUUUCAUGCAGGAGAACUUGAUGUUAGUAGAUUGAAUUGUGGCAUUAUAACUUUACUGCCUAAGAUCAAUGGGGCCAAUAAGAUCCAGCAGUUUAGGCCAAUUUGCUUGCUUAGAUGUCCCUACAAACUGAUCACUAAGGUGCUUGAUAACAGAGUGGCCCCUUUUGCUGACAAACUGUUUAGUAGACACCAAAAUGCAUUUAUUAAACAAAGAAACAUCAUGGAUGGAGUAUUAUCUUUGCAUGAGAUUUUGCAUCAUACUUACAUCAAAAAUAGGGUGGGCAUUGUUAUUAAGCUCGAUUUUGAGAAAGCAUAUGACAAGGUGAACUGGGACUUUCUGUUGGAAUGUCUCGAGAUGAGAGGGUUUGGUGUUGGAAAUAUGCCCUAG
Molecule: ribosomal RNA, 486 nt
Filed under: Triticum aestivum (bread wheat)
Lineage: Eukaryota; Viridiplantae; Streptophyta; Magnoliopsida; Poales; Poaceae
Description: partial small subunit ribosomal RNA
Source: RNAcentral